This 486-nucleotide ribosomal RNA is filed under the name uncultured bacterium. Its description in RNAcentral is "partial 16S ribosomal RNA". It matches the Rfam family "Bacterial small subunit ribosomal RNA", at positions 30 to 507 of the family's 1533-position model. The record is from RNAcentral.
AUUGAACGCUGGCGACAUGCCUUACACAUGCAAGUCGAACGGCAGCACGGGUGCUUGCACCUGGUGGCGGGUGGCGAACGGGUGAGUAAUACAUCGGAACAUGUCCUGUAGUGGGGGAUAGCCCGGCGAAAGCCGGAUUAAUACCGCAUACGAUCUACGGAUGACAGCGGGGGACCUUCGGGCCUCGCGCUAUAGGGUUGGCCGAUGGCUGAUUAGCUAGUUGGUGGGGUAAAGGCCUACCAAGGCGACGAUCAGUAGCUGGUCUGAGAGGACGACCAGUCACACUGGGACUGAGACACGGCCCAGACUCCUACGGGAGGCAGCAGUGGGGAAUUUUGGACAAUGGGCGAAAGCCUGAUCCAGCAAUGCCGCGUGUGUGAAGAAGGCCUUCGGGUUGUAAAGCACUUUUGUCCGGAAAGAAAUCCUUGGCCCUAAUACGGUCGGGGGAUGACGGUACCGGAAGAAUAAGCACCGGCUAACUACGUG